RNAcentral lists this ribosomal RNA (970 nucleotides) under Salmonella enterica subsp. enterica serovar Typhimurium. RNAcentral describes it as "partial 23S ribosomal RNA". It matches the Rfam family "Bacterial large subunit ribosomal RNA", at positions 738 to 1622 of the family's 2925-position model. The record is from RNAcentral. Lineage: Bacteria; Pseudomonadati; Pseudomonadota; Gammaproteobacteria; Enterobacterales; Enterobacteriaceae.
GGGCAGGUUGAAGGUUGGGUAACACUAACUGGAGGACCGAACCGACUAAUGUUGAAAAAUUAGCGGAUGACCUGUGGCUGGGGGUGAAAGGCCAAUCAAACCGGGAGAUAGCUGGUUCUCCCCGAAAGCUAUUUAGGUAGCGCCUCGUGAAUUCAUCUCCGGGGGUAGAGCACUGUUUCGGCUAGGGGGCCAUCCCGGCUUACCAACCCGAUGCAAACUGCGAAUACCGGAGAAUGUUAUCACGGGAGACACACGGCGGGUGCUAACGUCCGUCGUGAAGAGGGAAACAACCCAGACCGCCAGCUAAGGUCCCAAAGUCAUGGUUAAGUGGGAAACGAUGUGGGAAGGCCCAGACAGCCAGGAUGUUGGCUUAGAAGCAGCCAUCAUUUAAAGAAAGCGUAAUAGCUCACUGGUCGAGUCGGCCUGCGCGGAAGAUGUAACGGGGCUAAACCAUGCACCGAAGCUGCGGCAGCGAACGUAUCACCCAAGACAACUUUACGGAGUUGACGAUUGACGGAGCGAAGCGACGUCAAAGCGUUCAUUAAAGUCGAGUUGGCUUAGGGAUACGUUCGUUGGGUAGGGGAGCGUUCUGUAAGCCUGUGAAGGUGUGUCGUGAGGCAUGCUGGAGGUAUCAGAAGUGCGAAUGCUGACAUAAGUAACGAUAAAGCGGGUGAAAAGCCCGCUCGCCGGAAGACCAAGGGUUCCUGUCCAACGUUAAUCGGGGCAGGGUGAGUCGACCCCUAAGGCGAGGCCGAAAGGCGUAGUCGAUGGGAAACGGGUUAAUAUUCCCGUACUUGGUGUUACUGCGAAGGGGGGACGGAGAAGGCUAUGUUGGCCGGGCGACGGUUGUCCCGGUUUAAGCGUGUAGGUGUGUGUUCCAGGUAAAUCCGGUUCACUUUAACACUGAGGCGUGAUGACGAGGCACUACGGUGCUGAAGCAACAAAUGCCCUGCUUCCAGGAAAAGCCUCU